AACCUUAUGGACCUGCGGGCGUAUACCUGCGGAGGGAUCAUUACCUAGAGUUGUAGGCUUUGCCUGCUAUCUCUUACCCAUGUCUUUUGAGUACCUUACGUUUCCUCGGUGGGCUCGCCCACCGAUUGGACAAAUUUAAACCCUUUGCAGUUGAAAUCAGCGUCUGAAAAAACUUAAUAGUUACAACUUUUAACAAUGGAUCU
Molecule: unclassified non-coding RNA, 203 nt
Filed under: soil metagenome
Description: partial contains 5.8S ribosomal RNA, internal transcribed spacer 2, and large subunit ribosomal RNA
Source: RNAcentral